UUGGAGGGCAAGUCUGGUGCCAGCAGCCGCGGUAAUUCCAGCUCCAAUAGCGUAUAUUAAAGUUGUUGCAGUUAAAAAGCUCGUAGUUGAAUUUCGGGAUCAAUAUUUCGGUCAUGCCGUUGGUAUGCACUGUUAUCAUUGAUUUCUCACCUUCUAAAGAACCGUAAUGCCAUUAAUUUGGUGUUACGGGGAAUUAGGACUGUUACCUUGAAAAAAUUAGAGUGUUUAAAGCAGGC
RNAcentral lists this ribosomal RNA (236 nucleotides) under Funneliformis mosseae. RNAcentral's name for it is "partial 18S ribosomal RNA". It matches the Rfam family "Eukaryotic small subunit ribosomal RNA", at positions 548 to 785 of the family's 1831-position model. The record is from RNAcentral. RNAcentral also lists the same sequence under 1 other name. Lineage: Eukaryota; Fungi; Glomeromycota; Glomeromycetes; Glomerales; Glomeraceae.